AGCGAACGUUAGCGGCGCGCCUAACACAUGCAAGUCGCACGAGAAAGGGCUUCGGCCCCGGUAAAGUGGCGCACGGGUGAGUAACACGUGGGUAAUCUUCCUCCGAGCGGGGGAUAACAUUCCGAAAGGAGUGCUAAUACCGCAUAAGACCACGGAGUCGAAAGACACUGAGGUAAAAGCUGGCCUCUUCACGAAAGCUAGCACUUGGAGAUGAGCCCGCGGCCCAUCAGGCAGUUGGCAGGGUAAUGGCCUACCAAACCUAAGACGGGUAGCUGGUCUGAGAGGAUGAUCAGCCACACUGGAACUGAGACACGGUCCAGACUCCUACGGGAGGCAGCAGUGGGGAAUCUUGCGCAAUGGACGAAAGUCUGACGCAGCGACGCCGCGUGGGUGAUGAAGGCC
Molecule: ribosomal RNA, 402 nt
Filed under: uncultured bacterium
Lineage: Bacteria
Description: bacterial SSU rRNA
Rfam family: Bacterial small subunit ribosomal RNA
Source: RNAcentral